Molecule: long non-coding RNA, 12388 nt
Organism: Cavia porcellus (domestic guinea pig)
Lineage: Eukaryota; Metazoa; Chordata; Mammalia; Rodentia; Caviidae
Exons: 2
Source: RefSeq, a predicted model, not a curated record
GAAACCAACUGGAAUGCCAAAGGGGACAAAAUGGAGCUGCAGGAUGACUGGGGCAAGAGAACAGGCUCAGGAGACACAGAGGCAGAAGACGAUCCGGAGGGACACUGGGAGAACGGUGGGGACACCAGGAAGCAAGAGUGGAGAACAUCCUAGAAGGAAAAAGUGACCACCAUGGGCCGCGAGCGGCGAGGUGGGAUGGGGGACCCGGGAGGAGCGAUGCUUUCCUGGAGGGACCUGUGGGAGGGCAGGGGCAGCGGCACAGCUGGCUGAGACGCCAACCACUGGAGCCAGGGAAGGAGGAAGGAGGCAAGACCCAGCGGGAUCCGGUCUUCGGCAAACUGGAGACGUGCGGGUUUACGUUCUGGGUCAGGGGAGCCUGGGACCCUGAGCAGGUAAGCAUGCGACCCUCGUGAGCAGAUGGGGCGGAGGGAGAGACUCAGGGAUUAUCGUCAGGCGAUCACAUGUGUCGUGUUAAGUCAGACUUAAUUAAACCUUCCCCCUUUCGUGAGUCACCUGAUCCCCGUGUCCUGCUACAGACUGUGCUCAUCCUCCGCGGAUUUCAGUGCCCUUGCAGGCGCCAGUUCCACCUCGCCUGCUGGUGGGGCCUGCCCUCUUCUCUGGUCACUUGUAAUAAUCAACAGAGCUGAUCAUGUGCUCAAUGUACUUUCUGUUGUGCACAGGUAGCUCGGGGCACAAAUCUGUAAGGUGCAACUCAGUGAGUUUUUGUUUUUUGUUUUUUGGGGGUUUUUUUUGUUUGUUUGUUUUUGGUUUUUUAUCAGUACUGGGGAUCGAACUCACGACCGCCUGCUUGCAAGGCAGGUGCUUAUGCCGCUGAGCUAAAUCCCCAGUCCCCUUCUUGGUGAGUUUUUAAUUCUGCACACACACCGCUACCAGGUCCAGUCAAAAACAAGUUCAUCCUCCUUCCAGACUCCCUGGCAUCCCUCCCCACUUAUUACUUCCAUCCCAGGCAUACUUACCCUUCUGACUUCUGUCACCCAAGUGUUUCUGCUUCUCUUGAACUUCUUAUGAAUACAAUUAGUGGGUCUGGCUUCUUCCACAAAACAUACAUCUUUGAGGUUCACACAUGUUGGAAAUGUAAUUUGUCUUCAUAAUUUGUCUUGUCUUUUCAUUGCUAUGUAAUAUUCCUUCGUGGGAAUACACCACUGAUGGAUCUAUGGAUCUAUUCUCCUGUUAGUAGACAUAUGGGUUGUUUAUGAGUUUUUUCCUAUGACAGAUAAAGCUGCUGAGCAUUCUGAACACUUUUUUAGGUGACUGCAUGCAAUCAGUUCUGAUAGGUAAUAUUUCUAGGAGUGGAGUGCUAGGCCAUAGUGUAGACAUGGGUUAGGUUGCACUAAUUUGUAAGUUAGUUGUAUUCAACAUUUACUCCUUUUAGUGUAGAAUUUUGGUAGAUAUAUGGAACUGCAUAACUCCUGUCACAAUUAAAAUGUAAGACAUUUCCAUCACCCCAAGAAAUUGCCUUGUUCUCUAUCAGUCCCUGGAAACCACUGAGCAUGCACAAGGCCUUGGGUUCGAUUCCCAGUAUUGAGCAAGGUGAAGAGAAAGAAAAAGAAAGAGAAAGAAAAGAGAAAAAAGAGGCAGUCAGGGGUUACAGACUCUGCCAAGUUGGAGUCACUGACUGGGACUCCAUAGGACACCCUCAUGGCGCUGUUCAUUGGGAGGGCCUGGAGCGACUCAGCAGGGGAACCAGGCACACAGGCCUGAGAGGGGGACUGUUGGCAAAAGGCUUGGGGGAAGAAGAUGAGGAACUUCAAGAAGGAAAAAGAAGGCCAGGAGGCCUCCCUCUGAGGAGCUCCAGGGCGAUGGGAGGGUUAGACUGAAACUAUACGCCCUUGUUGGGGGUGGAGUGGAGCUGCCUGAGAUAACUAAGGAGGCCCAGGCUGGUAACUGUCCCCACGUCCUGAGGGAACUUCACAGGGUCCUGGGAAGGCAGGAUGGACCCUAGACACCUGGGGUCUCUAGCCCUGCCCCACUGAACUGGGCCAAUGUCAAAAGUUCUCAAGAAGGCAAGUGGGCAGGGGAGCCUUAGGAACCUGUGGAUGCUGGGAAGUCCACCUGUGGGCAGCAAAGACGGGCACGGAGGUAACAGGAGACAGCUGGUUGGAGAAACUUGUCCAGGAAGGCAGAGGCUGUGAGUGGGAACUUGCAGGAGUAGAGAGAGAACACCGAGAAAAAGGGGAGAUCAGAAACAGGAGACAGGAGAGUAUGAGACCCAGGAGGGGAGAGACACAGGACAGCUGCCCUGCACACAGGGAGAUGUAGACAGGUGGCUGCAGAUGCACGAGCAAGAAGGGCCUGGGCCCCUGGAGGCCUGGAUCCCCAGAAGAGGGAGCUGGGGUGUUGGCUGGGCCCAGAGGGAAAGGGCAUGUGGACCCCCAGCUCAGGGCUGCAGGGUGGAAAGGGAAGGAGCUGGAGUGACCGACUGACCUUAAGAGCCAGCCAAGGCUGGAGGGACGUCAGCUAGAUCGGGGCCGUAAGCACAUGAUGUGAUGUGAGCCUGCCGCCCUUGGCAGCUCAGAGGCGGAUUGAGAAAAAUGGAGGGGUUUUAGUUCCCUCUCAUCCACCAUCCUGUUUAAUGGUCCCAGCACCCCCAGUCACCUCUGAUUUACAGACAAGGGAACUGAGGCCCAGGGAGAGGAGGACAUGAACCUGACUAUUCAGCAAGUGAGCAGUGAGACAAGACUCUGGCCAAGGACCAGGUUUCUCUGCUUGGCGGCAACCCUAUGGCCCCGUGUCCCUUCCCAGACACAUGGAGAGUGCCGCGGCAGCCCUGUGCCUACUGCCCUCUGCCAGGCACAGACACACACAGAGCUUGCUUGCUCCCCAUGAGCCAGCUGUUGCUCAACUCAGUUUUUCUGCCUGUUCAUCAAAGCCUCUCAGGUAGGGACCGGGAGGGAGUCGAGGUCCAGAGGUAGCACCUAACUGGUCUGGGUUAGUCAGGGCCACACAGCACAGGGCCUCAGUGUGGUGGUUGUAAAAUAUGUCUACAAAUUCUUUGGCAUUCCUCCCUUCAACAGACAGAGCCAAAUUCCCCUGCUCUGAGUGUAGAUAGGAUUUAGUGACUCACUCCUGACAAAGUAAAGCAGAAGUGAGAGUAUAUGCUUCGUUGUCAAAAGGCGCGGCAGCCCCUCUUCCCUUGCUCACUUCCUUCCCUCUCUCCUCUCUGCACACCCUCCACAGGGAGCCAGCUCAAACCCUCAGACCAGGCCAACAGCUCUAUGCAAUCUUUUCAGUGACUCUGAGCCAAACCCAUCCAAAUGUGCUCCCAGAUGCUGACCAUCAGAAAGUCCGAUAGUAACCGUCUGCUGUUUGCGAUGAUGAACCUCUGUGGCAAUUUGUUACACAGCAAUGCAUAACUAAUACAUACUUUGGCAUUUGUAAAUGAAGGGCCACCACAACAAAAACCUAAACUAUGGGAAUGGCAUUGACACAAGGGAGUCCGGAGCGGCUAGAAAGACUCCAAGAAUGAUAAUAUUUGUACAAACAUGGUGUCCUUUGAGGAGACUGCAGAGAAGGCUUGAAAGAAAAUGAGGAAAGUCUUCCUGGAAAGUGGAGGAGAAAAUCCUCUUACUGCAGCGGCAGAGGUUACUGUAACAUCACUGCUUACAACAACACGUGGAAUACGUAAUGUGCCAAUGAACCGAGUGAUCAAGUUAAGGAGCCUUCCAGGCAAAGUGUUGAAGAUGCCAUCUGGUUUAUUUUAGGCAUUUUUAGUAAAAUGAAAAAUUAAAAAAAGACAAACUAAAUAAAUUAUCUGUUAAACAUGAAGAAGCCAUAACUUGAUGAUUGCAAAAAGGUUUAACGUCUCCAGGCAAAAAGCAAGAUGAAGAUUAAGACACAAUUUUGGCUAGGCACAGUGGCACAAACUUUUAAUCCUAGCUUGAAGGUUGGUGCAAGAGGAUCACUAGUUCAAGGUCAGCCUGGACAACUUAUACAGACCUGGUCUCAAAAAAUUUUAAAAGGGCCGAUGCUGUAACUCAGAGGUGGAGUGUUUGUCCAGCACAUUUGAAGCAAUCACCAGUGUCACACAUAUAAAACAUUCGCCCAAAGAUCAAAUCCAGAAUGUCCAUCCAUUUGUGUUGCUGUAACAAAAUAUCUGAAACUGGAUACUUUGUUUUUAAGAGGUUUUUUUGGCUUACAGUUUUGAAUAUUCAAGAGCAUGAGCCAAGGCAUUUUAGUCUGAAUAAUUCCUAGAAUUCAGACAGGGGAAGAUAACUACGUUUUGACUAGCUAUCAAAGUAAUCAUUGACAAUCAUCAUUAAAUACAUUAUGGCAUUUAAUCAGGCCUUAGGAGAAAAGAAAACUAUCUCAUGAAUAAAGGCUACCAUAAACUUAUGCUAAAAAGGCAUACCAAGAGCCUCGGAAUGAUGAAAUAAUUAGCAAGGAACUUAACUGCAUGCCAGUCUUUAAUGGAAAACAACAAAAAUCAGGCCGUCAACUAUGCAACAUUAACAUUCAUAAUGUCCAGCACCAAGUAAAAAAUUCCUACAUAGGUCAAGAAACAGGAAAAUGAUCCAUGAUUAGUAGAAAAAUCAGUAAAUUGAAAAGGACCCAAAAAUAUCAGUGACGAUGGAAUGAGUGGACAAGAAUGUUAAAAGGCUGCUAGCUGUAUGGGUUUUGUUUUGUUUUGUUUUGUUAUGACUCUUUUAGGCAGAGGAGACCCCAACCCUCGGCUCAGAGCUUGGAGAAAAGAAUGAGAGUUGGAUUUUGGCCUCCACUCAAUCUUCCCCCAGAUCUACCUGUGCAGAAACUACCUGAGCCACCAUGGGUGACAGCCCUGCUGUCUGUCCCGGGAGCACCAAGGAGGCAAUAUGGUUGGAGCAGAAGUAAGGGAAAGGCGUGGAGGAUGGGAAACAUAGUGGGGAGGAAGGCUAUGCAAGCCCUGUGAGGGAGGACUAUUAGCUUUUACUCCAAGUGGCUGGAAGCCGUAGGAGGUCUGAGCAAGGAGAGUCACGAUCCUUCCAGAGGCUGAUGGAGGGAGAACAGGCAGUGAGCCUGGGACCUGGAGGAGCCAGAGGGUGCUGCACAGUGCUCCUGAGACAGGACGCUGGGGCCUGGCCAGAAGCAGAGGCUGAAGGGACUGCGGCAUGGAGGGGUCUCGGUGACCUCUUGCGGGAGACAUAGCGGGAAGUGAGGAUACAGGGGUCUUGGGCUGCAAGAGCAAGAGAAGCCGGAGAUAACAGAGAUAAUGGCUUCUGCAGCAGCUCCAGGCAGGCUGCAGUGCUGGGCGCUAAUGAGAUCAGGGUGAGAAACACAUUUUGGGGUGUGAAGAUGGCUGGUGGGUUUGAGACACCUGCAGAGGGAGGGCAGGUGGGGAUGUCAGCAGAGAGGACGGGGUGAGUUCAUGGGGAGUGGGAGGAAUAAAGACAGGAGAGAGAGGGAGAGAGGACAAACAGACCCUGCCCAGAGCCAAGUGGGCUCACUGUGGACCUCAGAGGGAUGGGCUGACAGAUGAGGAUCCCAGGAGAGCUGACCUGAUGACGCAUCAGAGAGACGAGCCUGCAUGCACACACGCACGCACACACACAGGGGGAAUUUGGUAAGCUCCUUUGGAGAGCAGGAACGAGUGUGUGUGAAUGAGGCUGCGGAGGGAGGCUCUCAGAGAGACAGACAUGCACAUGCAGACUCACAUACAAGAGCCGCCCCAGGAACAAACUCCUGUACACAUUCAGGGUCUGAGGUGGCAGACGAGUGAAUGGGAGAGUGAGUGGGCGCCAGGGGGGCUGACAGAGAUCAGCAAGAGAGGAGGGGAGUGGAAAGACACCAAACCUCUGUGUUUUCAAGGAUCCACAGUGAGACGCACAGACACAACUGUGACACAACAGGAGGACCUAAUCUGGAGGGAAUAUGAACAAUGAGAGAGGGGCUGGGGAGGCAGGAAGUCCAGAGAUCCAGAGAGGCAGCUGUGUGUACACUCAGACCAACAGACAGGACAGACAGACCACAGCCUAAUGACAAACACUAGGGACCCAAGACAAGCAAGAUCCAGGAAGAGGCUCUGCACAGAAGCUGCCACCAUCCUUCCAGACAGGCAGAGGCAUCCGAGGAUCCCCUGGCAGGAGGAGGCCAGCUCACAGUGCACCUCAUAAAGGGGAUCCGAGAAUGAAACGUGUCUACCUCCUCGGAUGGAAGAGGCCUCAAGUGCACCAGCAAGUCUCAGGCUUAGAGAGGUGGCAGUUAUGUCGGGACGGCAGCCAUGAUGUCUGAAGAGGGCCGUGUGUUCCGUUUCCUCUCUCAUCCCUCCCUCCCCUACCCAUCACCUCCCAUCUGCCUGCCUCUGUCUACCUAUGUGUCCACCAAAAUGACUCACUCAUCCAACAAUUAUGAUCAUAAGGGAUAAUCGGUUACAAAUCAAAAAGUAGGAUGUUUCAAAGCAGACUUUAAUCUUUCUUAAAGUGUUUAAGUUUUUUCAAGUUGAACACGUUCACACCACCUCUUGAUAAAUAGAAAUUAAUUUUUCAAAGGAAGAUAGUAAAAGGGGAUGCAGAAAAUGUGAUAAUGACAGAGAACAGGUGACGAUAGCCACGCGGAGCCCUCCCUUCUCUUCCCCUCCGGUUGCUAACCUCCCGCAGCCCUGCUCUAAGCUGGGACCAGAGACAGCUCAACACCUGCAUGGUCCGCAGGGAUGGAAAGACCCCAAACACGUUCACCAUGGGCCUGGAUGUACCCAGGCAUGCUCCUGUGGUGCCAUGGGCUCUCAGGGACAGGCCUGGGGCUUCCCCAGAGAGAGGAGAGAGCCAAGGGCUUCACUGUAUGCCAUUCAGAAAGGGCAGAAGCAGGGGGGUGGACUAGCCCACACCUCCCUGCCAGGAAGAGGCCAUCGUGGCUGUGGCUGGGUGGAGAAGAAGUUGCCACGAGUGGGACAGUAUGAGUGGAACCGGCAAGCUUUAAAGCAGGGCCAUUAGCUCGACCUUUACCAGGAACAUCCUGGGGCUGCCAAGAGGGGUCAGACCAGCCCAGGGCAAGCACCAGAUAGGAGGCUUGAAAGGGUGACUCAGUGAGUAGAAAAGGCAGGCCCGGCAGCAGCGAGGGCUGAUGACCUGUGGUAGGGCCAGGCUUGGCAGAAGGCAGGACUGUGACUUUGUCUGCUUUCACUAGAGAUGAGCAGCCAGUGGGGGAGGAGACUGGAGAAGAGAACUCCAGUGCAGGAGGGGCAGGGAGAACCCUCAGAUUGCCUGGGAGCCCUGUCUCCUGGUCCCACGCUCAAGGGCGAGGAUGUGCAAUUCCAAAUUCAGGAGAGACCUCUACUCCAAGAAGAGUGAUGCGUGGCGAUGGGUAUUCUGAGUGGGGGGAGCUGCCCCUGGGGAGCGGCAGAGCAGGAAGAAGAGUACUGAGCCCCAAGGGACAUCAGUACCAAGAGAAGGAUGGAGGACCAGGCUGCGGAAGAGGACAGUCCAAAGAUGGAAGGAGAGCCACAAGUGUCCAGGAUCCUAUGGGCCAGAGGACAUGAGGGGGCAAAGGGCCAUGGGCUUUGGUGAGCAAGAGGUCAGUGGGGGACUCACUUGAGAUUCGCGGUGGGCUCCAGAAGGCGGAGGACAGGUGCUGAGCAUGGUGUGGGACCAAGGCAAGGGGGGAAGAGGGCAGAGCCAAGGAUCCUUCUCCCAUGGCUCUGAGGAUGAGCAGGAGAGGAGCAGUGGUUACCAAAGUGGCAGCAGAGUGAGCCAGGAAGAGAGCAAAGGGUGACGUGGCCAGGGCAGCCACGUGGGCCACAGAGAUGGGGAAGAGCAAAGGAGAGGACCAGCAGUUUGGAGGAAGACCCUGGAACAGAAGACCAGAACAGGAGGGGAGAACGCAGCGGAGUUUGGGAUGUAACGGGGCAGGUGGCCGGGCAGGCUGAGAGGAGAGCAGGGCCUGAGCGGAAGGACCGAGGGAGAUGGCGCGUGUGUUGGCAGUGUGGCCCCCGCACACAGGGAGGGAGAGGGGCACAGAGGUGAGGACCAGCCAGGGUGAGAGGGAAGAGUGUGAGGGAAUGCCUAGGACAGAGCUGGACAGGCCACACACACACAUGCAUACGCGUGUGCACACACAAACCACACACACACUUAGGAUGCUGAGAAGGCUUAAUGUCCAUCACUGCUCUCUCCCAGGACGACAGCUGGUCUUUCCUCUCCAGAACACUUCAGGACCUGCCUAGCCUUUGGUCCCCCUCCCCCCAUGCAGCUCCAAGGCCUCAACAGAUGUGGUGUGGCUGGAUGGACAGAUGGGCAGAUGGACUCAGUCAUCCAUUCUUCCACCCACAUGAUGCUACAGAGGCCUGAGGACCUCCAACCACUCCUGGGAGGGAGUGCUGGCUGGAAGGCUCAGAGCGGCUAUGGGGAACCACACAGGAGGACCGGAAGGGGCAGCCAGGGUGUGGCAACCAUGAGACAGGUGCAAGGCACCUGCGGAGGGGCUCAGUCAGGGCCACUCCAAAUCCACAGUGUGUGCCGCAGAACGAGGGUGGGUAGUUUCUGAGUGCAGCAGAGACCGGGCUGACUUACCAGAGCGCAAAGCGUGAGCUCUCGGAAACCAGGUGCAGCAAGAGAGGUGAGGACCCCAGAAGAACAGGAGACAGGACAGACCAACAGACAGAUCCUGGCCAGAGCACUGGGCUUUCCAUGGUGGGAUCCCGCCUGAGCACACCCUGGGAAGAUGAGUAUACACACACACACACACACACACACACACACACACACACAGCAAGACACAGAGCAAGAGCAAAACACUAUGAAGCCCAGAAGGAGGGAGCAGAAAUCGAAAGGGAAAGUGGCAGACACACAUGCACACACUUGAUUGCAUGUGCGCACACACAUGAUAACAAUGACAUGCAAACUAUGGAAAAUCCAGUGAGGCUCCUCUGGAGUGCAGAGGGAGCAUGACUGAGCAAGAGGAGGGCAGAGCCAGAGUGGAAUGGGAGAUCAGGGCACACUGAUACAAAGUUAAAAAAAUAAAAUAAAGAGGGGGAGGGGGGACCCGGAGGGAGGCAAGAGGCAGAGGAAGGCAGAGAUGCAGCUCAGCAGGCGCAUAUGCAGACGGGUGGGGAGAGAGGCCGGACACAGCCUGAGAAAGAGCCAAAAGCAGCGGUCAGAAGCCACACAUCCACACAGCAGCGGCACAAACUGUGACACUCGGGGCAGGGACAGAACAGAGCGGGGAGGGAGAGAAACAAAGGCUCGGCUCUGGAGUGAUAGCAUUGGAAUGCUCAGAUGGACAGACAGCAAAGAACCCAAAGCACUCCAGACCCCACAAGGAGGGGCAGGCAGGAAAGACGUCCUGAGAGUGCCUGUUCCUGGCACCCUCACCUGCCCUGGCGCACAGAGAGCACCCAGCACCACCUCAUCAUGCAGUGCAGCUUCAGUCUGAGGCAGGCUCUGGGGCAGAGGUUCCAAACAGUGCAUCAGUGCUGGGACUGCUGGCAAUUGGGCUCUCUGGGGAAGAAGAUUCCUCACCUGUAGCUUGUGCCCAUUUCUGUGGUGUAAAUGUCGCAGGGCUAAUUCAAGCCAGCAAUGCACCCUCACUGAGCAGAGUAAGGAAGAGGCGCCCACUGUUGGCUCCAGGCACCCGCAUGUUCACAGAAAGAACAAGAUUAAUCACCAGAGAGAAGCUCGUCCUUAGAACCUGCCCACAGUAGCCAGGAUUUAUAUUUUAAAUGAGUCCCCCAAACCAGCUCUACUUCACCAAGAUGAGCAGCCCUGCAGGGGCAGUAUGGACAGUCACACAAAGCUGGUCACUGUGGCUUCCCUCAGCGGAGCAGGACAAAGAAACUUCAAGUCUGUCUGCCAUGCUCUAAGUUUUUGCCAAAAGAAUUUCUUCAUCUAUCACAUACGAUUAAAAACUAAUCGUAUAAAUCUGAAGAGGGAGAAAAAUGGAGGGAGGAGUGGGAGAAGGAGACAGAGAGUGACCUCCACAUCCCUGACCCAUGGCCUUCGCACACCUCCACCCUCAGGAUCCUCCUCCUGCUGAGACAGAUGCUCUGACCUGUCCUCCAGGAGCUCACAGCCUGAGGGGCCGGACAGUGCGGUCAAACACACGUCUCUCAGCCUCCCGUGUGCCUAGGACAUCGGGGACCCUCAUCUGAUAAAGAGAGACCCCAGGCACCAAGUGGCAAAACCUUCUUUGAGAAGGACAUGGAGCUUUCCUGGGGAUCACCCACGACCCGGCUCAGCAGAGCUGUGUGGGAGAGAGUGGGAGGGGAGCAAUGGCUGUGGUGAGCAUAACGAAUCACGCAGACCCCAGGAGACCAGCUAGGGGAGGGAGGAGAGCAGGAGAGGGAGGCUGGGCCCUGGGGGUGCAAGUACAGGGGAUGGAGCAAGCAAAAGGCCACAAGGAAACAGGUGGGCCCAGAGGCCAGAGUCAAGGAAAGAAAGGGACACAGAACUCCAGCAUCCAAGGUCCCCAGUGGAGUUUGCAGCUGGUCCUGGCUUUUCCCAGUCUCUUAGCAGACACAGAGCAGCUGCUGUGGUGAGUGGCAGAAGAUGGCAGGUUGGGAGGGAGGAGGUGGACACAGCCCGAGUUGAGAGUUCCUUCCCUAGACACUCUGUCAUGGAAGGAGAGGACAGGAGGGAGGUGGGAACAAAAGUUCAAGGGGAAAAGUGACUCCUCAGGUGGGAGGGAGGGAAGUAUGUCCACUGCUGAGAGACCCUGAGGGAUGCGGGAGGGAAAGGGACAGCCGUUGCCAGGGCAACUGCACUGACUAGAAGCAUGAGGGGAUCAUAAGGAAAGAGGGAGGGAAUUUGGAGGUAGAGGCAACCGUGGGUUAGAAGGGGGAGACGGGUGGACGGAAAGGGGCUUCUCUGUGCUUAGUACUGCAUUUGCAGAAAGGGGAAAAUAUGCAGCUCAUCAUAGAUUUGGGGAGUCUACGCUGCUGAGGAUGAAGUUCUCAGGAGCUUCAGGUUGGGUUGAAUGCCCAGUGCUUCAGCAGACAGAUCUAGAGUGGAUCCGGAGAUAUGGGACUGUUCUUGUUUUUACACGCACCAAAAUGCGCAGUAACAUCAAAAACACAAGACGUGCUUAUCACCCUGUAUUCUUCCAACUCCCCUAAGAAUUCAACUCCAUCAGCAGUAUCUUAGCCUAUGGGAUCUCUGUCUUCAGUAGAACAUCGAGGGCGUAUUCGGUGUAUGCUACAUGGAUGAGCGGGUGGGUGAAUGGAUGGGCAAGUGCGUGGAUAGUUGGAUGGAGGAAUGAGGGAUGAAUGAAUGGGUGCGUAGGCAGAUGGGUAAAUGUGUGGAUGAUGAAUGAGUGCAUAGAUGGGCGGUGAGUGAUGGGUAGAUGUAUAUAUGGAUGGAGGGAUGGAUGGUGGGAGAUGGGUGAGGUAUGGACGAGGGGUGAAAGGAGGGAGGAAUGGAAGGAUGGAUGAAGAGGUAGAGUAAGACAGGAGGUAAGAAUAAGAUUGGAUAAGGAAAACAAAAAAGAAAAAAGAAAAACCACUAGCAGGCAUGAGGGCACAUACCGUUAAUCUCAGCACUCGGGAGGCUGAAGCAGGAGGAUCACUGUGCAUUCAAGGCCAGCCUGGGCUACAAGGUGAACUCAAGACCAACCUGUGUAACAUAGCAAGACUCUGUCUCAAAAAAAAAGAAAGAAAGAAAGGAAGGAACAGCCACUAUGGAAGUCAGUGUGGAGAUUCCUCACAAAACUAAAAUUAGAAACUCCAUCUGACUCAGAUAUACCCUUCUAAGUAUUUUCCCAAAAAAGUUAAAAAAUCAUCAGAUUACAGGGACACAUGUGUACUCAUGUUUAUAGCAGCACAAUUUAUAAUAGCUAAAGUGGGAAACAGUAUAUGCCCAUCAGCAGACGAAUGGAUACGGAAAAUACGGUAUUUAUACACAACAGAGUACUACUCUGACAUAAAUAAAGAUAAACUCAAGGCAUUUGUAGGUAAAGAGAUGCAAUUUGAGACUGUAAUAUUGAAAUAAAAUGUCAGGCAUGCAAACUUAAAUAUGAUAUGGUUUCUUUUAUAUGAAAUAUAUAUAUAUACAAAUAAAGAGCAAAAUAGAUUAAGUAGGAAGUAAGGAAGUCAAAUAAUUCCUCAAUUACCUAUUCCAUCAUUUCAAAAAUAUUUUAAUAUACAUGCCAAUUUGUUUUAUUUAUACUAUUAGUUUCUCUUAGUUUAUUGAAAGUUUUGUACUGUUACUUGAUUUUUUUUUAACUUUAAAGAUAAUAAAAUCCAACAAAACAAGCCAGAACAAAGCCAAUCAAAACAAUGCAGCAAAACUGGUACAGAACUUCAAAGCAGCAUACCAGGAAAAUAACUCUAGCUACCAUAGUAUAUCUUGUUACCUUCAUAAUAGUUGUCCAUCCAUCAGACAUAGCAAAAUCAAACCAAAAGCAAAACACAAUAAGACAAAUCAAAACAGAAUGUUGAGUAGAAUAAAAUAAUCAAAACAAAGCAAAA